This 229-nucleotide ribosomal RNA is filed under the name uncultured bacterium. RNAcentral describes it as "partial 16S ribosomal RNA". It matches the Rfam family "Bacterial small subunit ribosomal RNA", at positions 93 to 339 of the family's 1533-position model. The record is from RNAcentral.
UAGCGGCGGACGGGUGAGUAACGCGUGGGAACAUACCCUUUGGUACGGAAUAACAGCUGGAAACGGCUGCUAAUACCGUAUGUCCCCUGAGGGGGAAAGAUUUAUCGCCCUUGGAUUGUCCCGCGUCCGAUUAGCUUGUUGGUGAGGUAAUGGCUCACCAAGGCGACGAUCGGUAGCUGGUCUGAGAGGAUGAUCAGCCACACUGGGACUGAGACACGGCCCAGACUCC